CCUACGGGAGGCAGCAGUGAGGAAUAUUGCGCAAUGCCCGAAAGGGUGACGCAGCGACGCCGCGUGGGGGAUGAAGGCCCUCUGGGUCGUAAACUCCUUUGACAGGGGAAUAACGGUUCGCUACAGGCGGACGUGAAUGUACCCUGAAAACAAGCAUCGGCUAACUACGUGCCAGCAGCCGCGGUAAUA
This 189-nucleotide ribosomal RNA is filed under the name uncultured bacterium. RNAcentral describes it as "partial 16S rRNA". It matches the Rfam family "Bacterial small subunit ribosomal RNA", at positions 338 to 525 of the family's 1533-position model. The record is from RNAcentral.